CAGCGGUAGAGAGAGCUUGCUUCUCUUGAGAGCGGCGGACGGGUGAGUAAUGCCUAGGAAUCUGCCUGGUAGUGGGGGAUAACGUUCGGAAACGAACGCUAAUACCGCAUACGUCCUACGGGAGAAAGCAGGGGACCUUCGGGCCUUGCGCUAUCAGAUGAGCCUAGGUCGGAUUAGCUAGUUGGUGAGGUAAUGGCUCACCAAGGCGACGAUCCGUAACUGGUCUGAGAGGAUGAUCAGUCACACUGGAACUGAGACACGGUCCAGACUCCUACGGGAGGCAGCAGUGGGGAAUAUUGGACAAUGGGCGAAAGCCUGAUCCAGCCAUGCCGCGUGUGUGAAGAAGGUCUUCGGAUUGUAAAGCACUUUAAGUUGGGAGGAAGGGCAUUAACCUAAUACGUUAGUGUUUUGACGUUACCGACAGAAUAAGCACCGGCUAACUCUGUGCCAGCAGCCGCGGUAAUACAGAGGGUGCAAGCGUUAAUCGGAAUUACUGGGCGUAAAGCGCGCGUAGGUGGUUUGUUAAGUUGGAUGUGAAAUCCCCGGGCUCAACCUGGGAACUGCAUUCAAAACUGACUGACUAGAGUAUGGUAGAGGGUGGUGGAAUUUCCUGUGUAGCG
Molecule: ribosomal RNA, 620 nt
Filed under: Pseudomonas sp. 1AGIII
Lineage: Bacteria; Pseudomonadati; Pseudomonadota; Gammaproteobacteria; Pseudomonadales; Pseudomonadaceae
Description: bacterial SSU rRNA
Rfam family: Bacterial small subunit ribosomal RNA
Source: RNAcentral